RNAcentral lists this unclassified non-coding RNA (348 nucleotides) under soil metagenome. RNAcentral's name for it is "partial contains 5.8S ribosomal RNA, internal transcribed spacer 2, and large subunit ribosomal RNA". The stretch from base 1 to 120 matches the Rfam family "5.8S ribosomal RNA", at positions 35 to 154 of the family's 154-position model. The record is from RNAcentral.
GAUGAAGAACGUAGCGAAAUGCGAUAAGUAAUGUGAAUUGCAGAAUUCAGUGAAUCAUCGAAUCUUAGAACGCACAUUGCGCCCGCCAGUAUUCUGGCGGGCAUGCCUGUCUGAGCGUCAUUUCAACCCUCAUGCCCCUAGGGCGUGGUGUUGGGGAUCGGCCAAAGCCCGCGAGGGACGGCCGGCCCCUAAAUCUAGUGGCGGACCCGUCGUGGCCUCCUCUGCGAAGUAGUGAUAUUCCGCAUCGGAGAGCGACGAGCCCCUGCCGUUAAACCCCCAACUUUCCAAGGUUGACCUCAGAUCAGGUAGGAAUACCCGCUGAACUUAAGCAUAUCAAUAAGCGGAGGA